RNAcentral lists this ribosomal RNA (390 nucleotides) under uncultured bacterium. RNAcentral describes it as "bacterial SSU rRNA". It matches the Rfam family "Bacterial small subunit ribosomal RNA", at positions 30 to 401 of the family's 1533-position model. The record is from RNAcentral.
AGUGAACGCUGGCGGCAGGCCUAACACAUGCAAGUCGAGCGGCAGCGGGUUCCCGCGAGGGGAUGCCGGCGAGCGGCGGACGGGUGAGGAACACAUCGGAAUCUGCCUGGUUGUGGGGGAUAACGUAGGGAAACUUACGCUAAUACCGCAUGAGACCCUGAGUCGACGGACUGGGGGUNAAAGUGAGGGACCUUCGGGCCUCACGCGACCAGAUGAGCCGAUGUCGGAUUAGCUAGUUGGCGGGGUAACGGCCCGCCAAGGCGACGAUCCGUAGCUGGUCUGAGAGGAUGAUCAGCCACACUGGGACUGAGACACGGCCCAGACUCCUACGGGAGGCAAGCAGUGGGGAAUCUUGGACAAUGGGCGCAAGCCUGAUCCAGCCAUGCCGUG